GUCUCUGUGGCGCAAUGGGUUCGCGCGUUCGGCUGUUAACCGAAAGGUUGGUGGUUCGAGCCCACCCAGGGACU
This 74-nucleotide transfer RNA is filed under the name Callorhinchus milii (elephant shark). RNAcentral describes it as "tRNA-Asn (GTT) (tRNA-Asn-GTT-8-1, tRNA-Asn-GTT-8-2)". It matches the Rfam family "tRNA". Rfam says of the family: Transfer RNA (tRNA) molecules are approximately 80 nucleotides in length. Their secondary structure includes four short double-helical elements and three loops (D, anti-codon, and T loops). The record is from Rfam by way of RNAcentral. Lineage: Eukaryota; Metazoa; Chordata; Chondrichthyes; Chimaeriformes; Callorhinchidae.